UGUUAUUUCAGUUCUUGGCUUGAGGCUUGUUGGCGCUUGGCUCAGUCACCUGCUAAGGUUUGAGCGCGUCGCAACGUAGCGGCAACUUUUGCAACGGUUUCUAACGUUGCCAUAAACAGCAACAAAAACAAAUAAUAGCACGUGCAGAGCCGCCACAAGAAAAUCAUCACCAAUAGCAACAAUAACGUGAAAAUUAUAAAGCCAAAAAACACGCAAACCGCAUAAAAAUUUAAAAAAACGCGCGCGCCAAAUAAAAAAAAACCCGACAACACACGAAAAAACCAAAAAUACAACAAAAAAAAAUGCUCGUAAAAAAUUAAAGAAAAAAAAUAAAAAAAUAAAGCAAGGAGAAAAAAGAGAAUUUUAAGCGCUUGCGUUUUGUCAACCAGAAAAGGGCCAAGCGGCAAUAAAAGCGCACAAGUGGCAGCAGCAGCAACAACAACAACAAUAACAACAACAACUGCAACUACAAAAGGCGACCCUGUGAAUAAAAAAAAAUAAUAAUAAUAAGAACUGAGGCCCAAACCGAAAACCCUUUUGAACCCGAGGCAGGAAAACGCUUGUUUCGACAAGCCAGUGACAAAAACAACAACAACAACAACAGUAACAACAGCAACAGCCACAACAACGAACACCAGCAAUAGCAAAAACAACAACAUCGACAACAACGACAACACAGGUAAGUGUGCCAGAAGCU
Drosophila sulfurigaster albostrigata is the source of this 697-nucleotide long non-coding RNA. RefSeq lists it as uncharacterized. The transcript is spliced from 3 exons. NCBI's taxonomy places the organism in Eukaryota, Metazoa, Arthropoda, Insecta, Diptera, Drosophilidae. The record is from RefSeq and is a predicted model, not a curated record.